This 410-nucleotide ribosomal RNA is filed under the name uncultured microorganism. RNAcentral describes it as "bacterial SSU rRNA". It matches the Rfam family "Bacterial small subunit ribosomal RNA", at positions 509 to 917 of the family's 1533-position model. The record is from RNAcentral.
CAGCAGCCGCGGUAAUUCGUAGGGGGCGAGCGUUGUCCGGAAUUAUUGGGCGUAAAGCGCGCGCAGGCGGUCCUUUAAGUCUGAUGUGAAAGCCCACGGCUCAACCGUGGAGGGUCAUUGGAAACUGGGGGACUUGAGUGCAGGAGAGGAGAGCGGAAUUCCACGUGUAGCGGUGAAAUGCGUAGAGAUGUGGAGGAACACCAGUGGCGAAGGCGGCUCUCUGGCCUGUAACUGACGCUGAGGCGCGAAAGCGUGGGCAGCAAACAGGAUUAGAUACCCUGGUAGUCCACGCCGUAAACGAUGAGUGCUAAGUGUUAGAGGGGUCACACCCUUUAGUGCUGUAGCUAACGCGAUAAGCACUCCGCCUGGGGAGUACGGCCGCAAGGCUGAAACUUAAAGGAAUUGGCGGG